This 505-nucleotide ribosomal RNA is filed under the name uncultured bacterium. RNAcentral's name for it is "partial 16S ribosomal RNA". It matches the Rfam family "Bacterial small subunit ribosomal RNA", at positions 28 to 507 of the family's 1533-position model. The record is from RNAcentral.
GACGAACGCUGGCGGCGUGCCUAAUACAUGCAAGUAGAACGCACAGGUUAUACUGUAGCUUGCUACACCAUAGACUGUGAGUUGCGAACGGGUGAGUUACGCGUAGGUAACCUGCCUGGUAGCGGGGGGUAACUAUUGGUAACGAUAGCUAAUACCGCAUAAUAUCAAUUAUUGCAUGAUAAUUAAUUGAAAGGGGCAAUUGCACCACUACCUGAUGGACCUGCGUUGUAUUAGCUAGUAGGUGAGGUAACGGCUCACCUAGGCGACGAUACAUAGCCGACAGGAGAGGAUGAGCGGCCAGACUGGGAGUGAGACACGCCACAGAGUCCUACGGGAGGGAGCAGUAGGGCAACUUCGGCAAUGGACGAAAGUCUGACCGAGAAACGCCGAGUGCGGGAAGAGGAUUUCCGGGUCGUAGAUCACUGUUGUCAGGGAGGAACGGGUGUGAGAGUGGAAAGAUCACAGUGUGACGGUAUCUGACCAGGAAGGGACGGCUAACUACGUG